Molecule: unclassified non-coding RNA, 231 nt
Filed under: Hevea brasiliensis (rubber tree)
Lineage: Eukaryota; Viridiplantae; Streptophyta; Magnoliopsida; Malpighiales; Euphorbiaceae
Source: RNAcentral
AAAAUGGGGAAGAGUUCUUUUGGAAAAGUGACAAUCCAGAUUGAUCGGGUCGUAAUGCUAGGAGCAGUUGCUGGGGAGUAUACUUUGUUGCCAGAAAGCAAAAGUGGGCCCUUAAGGAAUUUGGAAAUAGAAUUCCAGUGGUCCAACAAACCCACUAACAAUGAUGCAGCCACAAAUUGAAUUUUAGGGAGAAAACAAUGUCCCAGUAUAGAUUCUUUUUUUUUUUUAAUU